CUAGCGGCGAAUGGGUGAGUAACACGUACUUAAUCUGCCCUUUAGAUUGGAAUACCCAAUGGAAACAUUGGCUAAUGCCGGAUACGCAUAGAAUCGCAUGAUUCUGUUGUGAAAGGAGCUCCAAAGCUCCACUAAAGGAUGAGGGUGCGGAACAUUAGUUAGUUGGUGAGGUAAUGGCCCACCAAGACUAUGAUGUUUAGCCGGGUCGAGAGACUGAACGGCCACAUUGGGACUGAGAUACGGCCCAAACUCCUACGGGAGGCAGCAGUAGGGAAUAUUCCACAAUGAGCGAAAGCUUGAUGGAGCGACACAGCGUGCACGAUGAAGGUCUUCGGAUUGUAAAGUGCUGUUAUAAGGGAAGAACACUCAGUAGAGGAAAUGCUAUUGAGCUGACGGUACCUUGUCAGAAAGCGAUGGCUAACUAUGUGCCAGCAGCCGCGGUAAUACAUAGGUCGCAAGCGUUAUCCGGAAUUAUUGGGCGUAAAGCGUUCGUAGGCUGUUUGUUAAGUCUAGAGUCAAAUUCCAGGGCUCAACCCUGGCUCGCUUUGGAUACUGGCAAACUAGAGUUAGAUAGAGGUAAGCGGAAUUCCAUGUGAAGCGGUGAAAUGCGUAGAUAUAUGGAAGAACACCAAAGGCGAAGGCAGCUUACUGGGUCUAUACUGACGCUGAGGGACGAAAGCGUGGGGAGCAAACAGGAUUAGAUACCCUGGUAGUCCACGCUGUAAACGAUGAUCAUUAGUCGGUGGAGGAAUCACUGACGCAGCUAACGCAUUAAAUGAUCCGCCUGAGUAGUAUGCUCGCAAGAGUGAAACUUAAAGGAAUUGACGGGGACCCGCACAAGCGGUGGAGCAUGUGGUUUAAUUUGAAGAUACACGGAAAACCUUACCCACUUUUGACAUCCUUCGCGAAGCUAUAGAGAUAUAGUGGAGGCUAACGGAGUGACAGAUGGUGCAUGGUUGUCGUCAGCUCGUGUCGUGAGAUGUUUGGUCAAGUCCUGCAACGAGCGCAACCCCUAUCUUUAGUUACUAACAAGUAAUGUUGAGGACUCUAGAGAUACUGCCUGGGUAACUGGGAGGAAGGUGGGGAUGACGUCAAAUCAUCAUGCCUCUUACAAGUGGGGCCACACACGUGCUACAAUGGUCGGUACAAAGAGAAGCAAUAUGGCGACAUGGAGCAAAUCUCAAAAAGCCGAUCUCAGUUCGGAUUGGAGUCUGCAAUUCGACUCCAUGAAGUCGGAAUCGCUAGUAAUCGCAGAUCAGCUAUGCUGCGGUGAAUACGUUCUCGGGUCUUGUACACACCGCCCGUCACACCAUGGGAGCUGGUAAUACCCAAAGUCGGUUUGCUAACCUCGGAGGCAACUGCCUAAGGUAGGACUGGUGACUGGGGUGAAGUCGUAACAAGGUAUCCCUACGAGAACGUGGGGAUGGAUCACCUCCUUUCUACGGAGUACACCUAGUUAUGGAAAAAAUAUUCGUAUUCAGUUUUGAGAGAUCUAUCUCUCUAUAUUUGUUCUUUGAAAACUGAAUAUCGACAUUGAAAAAUUAUAUUAAUUAAUAUUUCAAAGUUUAGAUCAACCUAUAGAAUAUAUAUAUCAAAAUUAAAGACAACAAUAGGUCAUACAACAAACAAUAACAAAACAACUAUUAAACAAGAUAAGAGUUUUUGGUGGAUGCCUUGGGUCUGGAAGUCUAAGAAGGACGUGAUUACCUGCGAUAAGCCUCGGUUAGCUGGAAAUAAGCUGUUAUCCGGGGAUUUCCGAAUGGGGAAACCCAAUUGAGCUAAUCCUCAAUUAUCAUUUCGAUGAAUUCAUAGUCGAAUGAAGAGACACGCUGUGAAUUGAAACAUCUCAGUAGCAGCAGGAAAAGAAAAUAAAGAAUGAUUCCCUCAGUAGUGGCGAGCGAACGGGGAAGAGCCCAAACCAACAUUUGAUGUUGGGGUUGUAGGACUACUUAUACGAAGUUAGACAAAACUUAAACAUAGCAGAAUAAGCUGGAAUGCUUAAACAUAGAGGGUGAAAUUCCCGUAAGCGAAAUGAAUAAGUCUUCAAGUAGUAUCCUGAGUAGGGCGGGGCACGUGAAACCCUGUCUGAACCCGCCGGGACCACCCGGUAAGGCUAAAUACUAACCAGACACCGAUAGCGAACUAGUACCGUGAGGG
RNAcentral lists this ribosomal RNA (2157 nucleotides) under [Mycoplasma] phocae. RNAcentral's name for it is "bacterial LSU rRNA". The stretch from base 1 to 1439 matches the Rfam family "Bacterial small subunit ribosomal RNA". The record is from RNAcentral. Lineage: Bacteria; Bacillati; Mycoplasmatota; Mycoplasmoidales; Metamycoplasmataceae.